GGGUAACUAGCUGUUAAUUAGUUGAUUGCGGGAUCGAGGCCCGUCUAUCUAG
This 52-nucleotide transfer RNA is filed under the name Varanus cumingi (yellow-headed water monitor). RNAcentral describes it as "tRNA-Asn". Lineage: Eukaryota; Metazoa; Chordata; Lepidosauria; Squamata; Varanidae. The record is from RNAcentral.